Molecule: non-coding RNA, 1477 nt
Organism: Sus scrofa (pig)
Lineage: Eukaryota; Metazoa; Chordata; Mammalia; Artiodactyla; Suidae
Source: RefSeq, a predicted model, not a curated record
CAUGCUGGAUCCUUAACUCACUGAUUGAGGCAGGGAUCAAACACUCGUAGACAGAGGACUCGGGUCCUCUGAGCCACAACAGAAACUCUUCUUUUUUUUUUUUAAUUCAGAAAGAUAUACCUUUUUCAGAAGCCCCAGCCAACUUUCCCUUAUUUCCCACUGGCCAGAACUAGAUCACUUACGCUUCUCCCCCUUAUCCCUGCCUCAGACCAAUUAUUGGCAAAAAACCAAUAAUGACUCAUCCCUGGGGCAGGGGGCGGAGUCUACCUUUCUUGAAAUCAUCAAAUUGGGAUGGGCCAUUGGAAAAGCAGCUUUGACUAUCACAGGAACUCUGCUCCAGCCAAGCACCCCGCUAGAUACUUGACAGACUUUUUCCACUUAAUUCUCACAACAGUUAUCUGAGAGUAAAUAAGAUGUGGCAGAGUGAUAAGGAUACUCCUAAAGUCUACCUUGGUGAACUUCCUAAGUUUCAUACACUCAUAUUUGCAGGCUCACUGCAGCUUAGAAAUGGCACAAAAUCCACAGAAGACAUACCCAUACCCAUGCACAUGAUGAAAGUGGCUUUGCUUGACAAAAAAAAAAAAAAAGAAAGAAAAAAAGAAAAAAGAAAAAGAAAGAAGAAGAAAAAGAAACAAACAAAAAUUUCCUCCUUAAGAACUAGGAGUGGUCUCUUGAGACUGUUUUGCUGGAUUUGGUAGACUGCUAUGUGCAAAGAUCACAUUCUUGAGGUUGUGGUCGUGCUAAAGGGGUAAGAACAGAGGAAGAGGAAAGAUUCUGAACAAAGAAGAUUUAAGUUGACUAGCAGGGAGAAAAAUCUUCACAGAGGAGUCUGUAAAUUCAAGAGAAGUGGUGGGAGUCCUCACUGGAAUACUUGGAGAAGAACUACACAGAAUAACAGAGGCCCUUCUGUGGGGAACCAUCUCAAGUUGGCAGUUGCUCAGACAAGUCCACCCACCGGGACCAGAGGCACUUACAGGCUCCAUGGCUCUCUGAGCUUCUGAUUUCUUGAAAUACCUGGGAGAGCACUCUCAGAGAAAAAGACUCUCUUGACUUUAAGGCUAUGUUUACGAGUCAACAGUUGAGAAACAUUUUUGCUAUGAAGACCAUUUGGUGGCCCUCCAGGGACAGUUCAGCUUGUCAGAAGGUUAUCAUCUAUUGACGUCCUAUCAUGCAGAGGAAGAUUUAAAUAUCCUGUCUCCUCCAUCCUUACAGAACCAGUGGAACCCAGUCAUAAACACUUCUCUCCUGUUAUCUUCCUGAUUGAGACUUAUUGUAAUUUUGAUUGAUUUAAUGUUCAGGAUUAACAUUAUUAUGACUCUGGAGGCUAUUCAGUGCUGAGUCAUCUAGUAAACUCUCAUGACUCUUCCUUUACUGCACAUGUUGUAGUUUUCCCUCCAGUUAAGAACUGUCUUGGAGUUCCUGUCGUGGCACGGUGGAAACGAAUCCGAUUAGGACCCAUGAGGUUUCGGGUUCGAUU